RNAcentral lists this long non-coding RNA (899 nucleotides) under Homo sapiens (human). RNAcentral describes it as "HSALNT0388991". The record is from RNAcentral. Lineage: Eukaryota; Metazoa; Chordata; Mammalia; Primates; Hominidae.
UAUACUUAUUAGGAUUAUUUUUAAACACUACAUUGUAUUUACUUGUUGGCUUUAUAAUUUAGAAAUAAUAUUUUGGAUUAACUGUGUGACUCAUGAGAGGGAGUUUGUGCAAUUACAAUCUUUACAAAUUUUUACUUGAUUUUCAAGACUUACACUACAACUGUUAGAACAAGGUAAUAAAUAAGCAUAUCUAUUAAUAUCAACUCUUGGCUCAACCCAAUGAUAGUGUAGGAAUUAACAUAAUUUUUCCUACUAAAGGUAUUGGAUUUGUUUUGAGAGACCGCAGUUUAAAAUCAUUGACAUAGAAAGUUUAAAAAUUGUUAAAUUUUUAAAAUGCCUUUGAAAUUGUAUUAUAGAAAAAUAAAUAUCCUAGUUUAGAUUGGUAGGUUUUUUUUUUAAAUAAGGACUAGGCCAAGAGAAAGGGAGAGUAGUGAUAAAUGUCCAGGUUUUUAAGUUGAAAAGUGAAAAUCAGUGUAUUACAAUGGAUGGAUUUGAUGUCAAAUUACAGAUGCUGAAAACAUUGUAUGUAAUCUACUAGCCAGGGUAAUUAUACAAGGCAAAGAAAUGAAAGGCAUCCAAAUAGGAAAGGAAGGGGUGAGAUUGUCUCUGUUUUCUGAAAAUGUAAUCCUAAUGUAAAGAAAAUCUUAGACUCCACCGAAAAAACCUGUUAAAGCUGAUAAACACAUUCAAUAAAGUUGAGAGUUACAAAAUUAACAUACAAAUAGUAUUCUUGUUUCUAAACACCCAUGACAAACUAUCCGAAAAAUAAAUUAAUAAAGUAAUUACAUUUAUAGUAGCAACAAAACAAAUAUAUAAGUAAAUAAAAUACUAAGGAGUAAUUUUAAUGAAGGGUGUGAAAGAUGUGUAUACUGAAAAUUAUAGCACAUUGAUGAAAGAAU